UACGGGGGGGGCAAGCGUUGUCCGGAAUUAUUGGGCGUAAAGAGCUCGUAGGCGGUCUGUUGCGUCGGCUGUGAAAACCCGAGGCUCAACCUCGGGCCUGCAGUCGAUACGGGCAGACUAGAGUGCUGUAGGGGAGACUGGAAUUCCUGGUGUAGCGGUGAAAUGCGCAGAUAUCAGGAGGAACACCGGUGGCGAAGGCGGGUCUCUGGGCAGUAACUGACGCUGAGGAGCGAAAGCGUGGGGAGCAAACAGG
RNAcentral lists this ribosomal RNA (253 nucleotides) under uncultured bacterium. RNAcentral describes it as "partial 16S ribosomal RNA". It matches the Rfam family "Bacterial small subunit ribosomal RNA", at positions 524 to 776 of the family's 1533-position model. The record is from RNAcentral.